This 422-nucleotide ribosomal RNA is filed under the name uncultured Bacteroidales bacterium. RNAcentral's name for it is "partial 16S ribosomal RNA". It matches the Rfam family "Bacterial small subunit ribosomal RNA", at positions 355 to 774 of the family's 1533-position model. Lineage: Bacteria; Pseudomonadati; Bacteroidota; Bacteroidia; Bacteroidales. The record is from RNAcentral.
UGAGGAAUAUUGGUCAAUGGACGGAAGUCUGAACCAGCCAUGCCGCGUGCAGGAUGACGGCUCUAUGAGUUGUAAACUGCUUUUAUACGAGGGUAAAACUGGGUACGUGUACCCACUUGAAAGUAUCGUAUGAAUAAGGAUCGGCUAACUCCGUGCCAGCAGCCGCGGUAAUACGGAGGAUUCGAGCGUUAUCCGGAUUUAUUGGGUUUAAAGGGUGCGUAGGCGGUAAUUUAAGUUAGUCGUUAAAUCGGAAGGCUCAACCUUCUCAUGGCGAUUAAUACUGGGUUACUAGAGAUUAGAUGCAGAGGGCGGAAUGUGUAGUGUAGCGGUGAAAUGCUUAGAUAUUACACAGAACACCGAUUGCGAAGGCAGCUCUCUAAUCUACAUCUGACGCUCAGGCACGAAAGCGUGGGGAUCAAACA